CGUCGUGAGGCGGAAUCUGAAGAAAGCCGGAUUUUAGGAGUUAAAAGGUCUCUUAAUGGGCAAAACUCUGGUCUGACGAACAGAAAUCGCAUAUAAGGCCGUAAAUGAGGGCGAGUUUGCCAGACAAGACAAAGCCCAAUAGCUACACGGAAUCAUUUACGGUAAAUGCGGCAGGUAAAGAGGGAAAGAACG
RNAcentral lists this non-coding RNA (192 nucleotides) under human gut metagenome. The record is from RNAcentral.